Oncorhynchus tshawytscha (Chinook salmon) is the source of this 1967-nucleotide long non-coding RNA. RefSeq lists it as uncharacterized. The transcript has 2 exons. The record is from RefSeq and is a predicted model, not a curated record. NCBI's taxonomy places the organism in Eukaryota, Metazoa, Chordata, Actinopteri, Salmoniformes, Salmonidae.
AUGUCCAUGUAAUCUUAUUCAUUAUUAUCUAGGAUCAGGACCCCCCAUGUCCAUGUAAUAAUAUUCAUUAUGAUCUAGGAUCAGACCCCCCCCCAUGUCCAUGUAAUCUUAUUCAUUAUAAUCUAGGAUCAGACCCCCUUUCUGAUCUGAAUGACGAAACUGAUCCUACAGUAGAUCAGCAGGUCUAAACUGGUCCUACAGUUGAUCAGCAGGUCUAAACUCAUCCUACAGUAGAUCAGCAGGUCUAAACUGGUCCUACAGCAGAUCAGCAGGUCUAAACUGAUCCUACAGUAGAUCAGCAGGUCUAAACUCAUCCUACAGUAGAUCAGCAGGUCUAAACUGGUCCUACAGCAGAUCAGCAGGUCUAAACUCAUCCUACAGUAGAUCAGCAGGUCUAAACUGAUCCUACAGUAGAUCAGCAGGUCGACUAUGAGGUGCUUUAUAAAUAGACGGGCCUAGAGUGUCUUUGUAAAUGAACCUUUAAGUGUUUCAUCGAUAUCAGACCUGUGAUGUUUUGUAUUCAGUUCGUGUUUCUGUCUCCUGCUGUGUUAGUCGUCAGUCUGGCAGGGCAGCUGUGUCGUUCUCCUGUUUUAGGUGAGUCGGUAGUACGAUACAAUACAACAGUGUUUGCAUAGUAACAACUUACUUUUCAUAAACUCCCCCCCCCAAACAAAAGCCAAUUCCUCCGGAGAAGGAAAGCAGCAUAUUAGGAUCACAUUGAGUUAGGAUUUUUGUUUGUUUGUUGUUAACAUUAAGUUAUGAGCUGUUUCAAAAUGAAAUUCUGAUUCAAACUGAAAAUAUGUCAAAUGUGGUGUGUUUGUUUUGAUAGUCCAGAUGAAUAUAUUCGGCCUAAAAACCUACACGAAUAUAAAUAUUGACCUGAUGAUGAGACUGUUUUUAUAUGAGUGAUGUGCUUUACAUACUGAUUAGUGCUGCUAAGCUAAAUGUUUAUUUUAUUUGUAAUCAUCACACUGACCUCAAGGGUUGGUCUGAUCUAGUUGGCUUUAGGACGGGUGUUUAUGGGUUGGACAUACAGGGGGUCGGUUUCCCCAGACCCAGGUUAAGUUUAUUCCUGGACUGAAAAGCACUUUUAACUUUUUUUAAAAAUGUCUCAACCGAGAAUAUUUUUAUUUUUAGAAGUGGCUUAACUUUUUGUCUGAGUAAACAGACCCAAACUGUAGCACCCUGUUUAGUCCUGACUUCUAUUUUAGUCAAAUAUUCCCAUUGACAUCAAUGCAAACUGAUGACUAAGUGAAAAUUUGAAAAUGCGCAUCCUCCCUUUCAAAUAUUCCCAUUGACAUCAAUGCAAACUGAUGACGAUCCUCCCUUUUCAAAGAAGACAUGCCCUUGAGGAACAAAUGAUUGAAUAUGUACAUGUACCACAUUGUUGUUGAUGAAUUAGCUGAUUCUUCUAGGCAGUGAGUAAGACCUGUGGGAAACAAAAAUCCUUUAGAGAUCUCAACGGAAGUUAGUUUAAACUAGGCUGCAAUAAUUUAGUGACAAAAUGAAACGAGUCACCUCAUUUGUCGUGGUUUUAAAAUGUUUUUCUCUGACCUGUGUCAUAUAUAUGGAGCUGUACAGCUUUAACAUAAUAGUGGAGAACUCCCAGCCAAUAGAAUCAGCCUCUCAGGGUUGAAGGUCACUGAUAUGCAAAUGAGCUGUGUGUUCCUGUUUUGACUUGUGCCUGCGUGCACCCUGUUAUUUCACCAUGCUUCUGUAUGGAUAUACAUGUAAAAGUAGUAGCACGUCGUUCUCCGUUGUUGUCAAGUUAAUUCUACCGUGCCAGCAAGAGCACAACAACCUGUAUGUACAUAGGUGAUGACAAAACUGUUCCCUCUGAUUUUUUUGGAAAUGUGUAUAUAAUAUUGUUUCUAAAUGACUAUUUAACCCUCUACUAUGUUACAUCUCCUAGUUUCCAUUGUACAUAGGAAAAUAAAACUGUUAAAGAAAAGUUUGAGGUCCUUUAA